GACGAACGCUGGCGGCGUGCUUAACACAUGCAAGUCGAACGGAAAGGCCCUGCUUUUGUGGGGUGCUCGAGUGGCGAAAGGGUGAGUAACACGUGAGUAACCUGCCCUUGACUUUGGGAUAACUUCAGGAAACUGGGGCUAAUACCGGAUAGGAGCUCCUGCUGCAUGGUGGGGGUUGGAAAGUUUCGGCGGUUGGGGAUGGACUCGCGGCUUAUCAGCUUGUUGGUGGGGUAGUGGCUUACCAAGGCUUUGACGGGUAGCCUGCCUGAGAGGGUGACCGGCCACAUUGGGACUGAGAUACGGCACAGACUCCUACGGGACGCAGUAAGGUAGAAUAUUGCACAAUGGGCGGAAGUCUGAUGCAGCAACGCCGCGUGCGGGAUGACGGCCUUCGGGUUGUAAACCGCUUUCGCCUGUGACGAAGCGUGAGUGACGGUAAUGGGUAAAGAAGCACCGGCUAGCUACGUG
RNAcentral lists this ribosomal RNA (468 nucleotides) under uncultured bacterium. RNAcentral's name for it is "partial 16S ribosomal RNA". It matches the Rfam family "Bacterial small subunit ribosomal RNA", at positions 28 to 507 of the family's 1533-position model. The record is from RNAcentral.